GAACUUUCAGAGUGAGGAAAGAGUCUUUGGAGGCUGAAUCAAACACCUUCCAGUUUGGUGGUUCAGUGAAAACUAGAGAACUGAGUUGGGAGCGAUCACUGGGCAGUUUAAGACCUGCUAAAUCUUCUGUUGUUUCACCUUUGUGUGGCUUGUCUUCGUCUGUCCCUCCACGAACGGUUUGAAAAUCCCACACAUGACUGACAAGAGACGGCUGCAGGCCCAGAGCUCUAAUCCUCAACAGAGCUUUCUGCAGGAAUGUUUGGACUACAGAUGCUCACUCUGCAUCGACCUCUGAGCUGCUGCUUAAAGUCAUAUUCAGUGGUGAGAUCCCCAAUAUUGUUCUCUUGACCGUACACAGAGGUAAAGUUCCUCAUGACUUCAUAGCUUCACCUGCUCUCCGCC
Mauremys reevesii (Reeves's turtle) is the source of this 402-nucleotide long non-coding RNA. RefSeq lists it as uncharacterized. The transcript is spliced from 3 exons. The record is from RefSeq and is a predicted model, not a curated record. NCBI's taxonomy places the organism in Eukaryota, Metazoa, Chordata, Testudines, Geoemydidae.